GAGUUUGAUCGUGGCUCAGGAUGAACGCUGGCGGCGUGCCUAACACAUGCAAGUCGAACGGAGUUCUUAAGGAAUGCGGCUUCGGCCAAAUGACUUUUGAACUUAGUGGCGGACGGGUGAGUAACGCGUGAGCAACCUGCCUUUCAGAGGGGGAUAACAUUUGGAAACAGAUGCUAAUACCGCAUAAGAUUACAGUACCGCAUGAUACAGUGAUCAAAGGAGCAAUCCGCUGAAAGAUGGGCUCGCGUCCGAUUAGAUAGUUGGUGAGGUAACGGCUCGCCAAGUCGACGAUCGGUAGCCGGACUGAGAGGUUGAACGGCCACAUUGGGACUGAGACACGGCCCAGACUCCUACGGGAGGCAGCAGUGGGGAAUAUUGCACAAUGGGCGAAAGCCUGAUGCAGCAACGCCGCGUGAGGGAAGACGGUUUUCGGAUUGUAAACCUCUGUUUUCGGUGACGAACAAUGACGGUAACCGAGUAGGAAGCCACGGCUAACUACGUGCCAGCCG
RNAcentral lists this ribosomal RNA (509 nucleotides) under uncultured microorganism. RNAcentral's name for it is "bacterial SSU rRNA". It matches the Rfam family "Bacterial small subunit ribosomal RNA", at positions 9 to 514 of the family's 1533-position model. The record is from RNAcentral.